Molecule: long non-coding RNA, 254 nt
Filed under: Carica papaya (papaya)
Lineage: Eukaryota; Viridiplantae; Streptophyta; Magnoliopsida; Brassicales; Caricaceae
Description: long non-coding RNA (CPAP_LNC005507)
Source: RNAcentral
GCAGGACGUGCGAAAAGCCCUUUCCCUGCACGUUAGAUCGCGCAUAUGUGUGGGUGCCCAGUUGCACAUGCAGGAGGCCUGCGCUCGCGGACACCCCAUCAAAUGCAUGCAAGAGCAUACCAUACGCCCAAACAAGGCACACACGUACGAGGGACCCCACGCGUAUGCAGACACGCUUCAGGCGAGUGCAGGAGGCAAGAGCACAUGCAGCAUGCGCAAGAAUUGUCGUGUACAUGGGCGGGCCGUGCAUGCCC